This is an RNA transcript of Triticum aestivum (bread wheat), 3433 nucleotides long. It is a transcript of the gene named putative GTP diphosphokinase RSH1, chloroplastic, with no coding region annotated. The record is from RefSeq and is a predicted model, not a curated record. The transcript has 24 exons. NCBI's taxonomy places the organism in Eukaryota, Viridiplantae, Streptophyta, Magnoliopsida, Poales, Poaceae.
ACCAGAAAAAAUCAUCAGAAACCCCCAAGAACAAAAUAGAAAAGAAAUCAUAGGGAAAUCGAAAGUAGAAUCUGAGACUGGCAGAGGUAAAGCUCCAGCCUCCAACCCAGCCCUCUCGCACAGACAGCCCUAUUUUACUUCACCACGGCCGCGGCCUUUGUGUGGCCUCCGUCCCCUGUUAUCCCUUCUUCUUCCCCGUCUCGCCUCCUCCCUCCUCCUCCUCCCCACCGGCAAACCCCCUCUCGAUCUCCACCGCUCGCCGAGUUUCGCCCAAUUCGCGCCCUGCCGGAGCCCGGGUCCACGAAGAGGGCCCCCUUUCGCCGGCCGCGGCGCCGCCGAUGAGACUGGCCGCCGCCGCGCCAUGCAACCCCCGACGGCCGCUCUGUCUGCGUCGUCGCUGGAGUGCGCGAGCUCGUGCAGGGCCUUGUGGAAGGGGGGCGGAGGAGCUGGGAGGCCCUACGAAUGCAGCGUGCUCUCCUGCGCCUGGAACGCUCCACGCGCGCUCACCGGCGCGCUUGCCAGCACCACGCAGUGCUCCUCCUGUAGCCACGCUGAAGCCGUAGGCGGCGGGAGGCGGCGAGGUCGCCCACGGCAGAGUAACAACAACACGUUACUGCACAUCACCUGGGCAGAAGACAUCAACAAAGGAAUGUUGGGCCAUGGUUCAUCAGCUAGUUUUGUUUCCUCGGAAAAAAAAACAGAUAUUGGUCAACUCCUGUGAAAUCAAUGUGGAGGGUUUCCUGCUAUUCGUCAGGACCGUUUGACCUUGUUUCUCCAGAAACGUUGUGGGAGAGUCUCAGACCAGCUAUCUCGUACCUUCAACCUGAAGAGUUGAACUUCGUACAUGACGCUUUAGAGUUAGCAUAUGAAGCACAUAAUGGGCAGAAACGCCGGAGUGGGGAACCUUUCAUCAUUCAUCCUGUUGAAGUUGCUCGUAUUCUUGGGGAGCACGAACUUGACUGGGAAUCAAUCGCUGCUGGUUUAUUGCAUGACACUGUUGAAGAUACUGACAUGGUUACUUUUGAAACAAUCCAAAAUGAGUUUGGGGCAACAGUAAGUCGUAUUGUUGAAGGGGAAACAAAGGUGUCUAAGCUAGGGAAACUUCAAUGCAAAAAUGAGGGUAGUUCAAAACAAGAUGUCAAAGCUGAAGACUUAAGACAGAUGUUUCUUGCAAUGACAGAAGAGGUUCGUGUAAUCAUUGUGAAACUGGCAGACAGGUUGCAUAACAUGCGUACUCUUACACAUAUGCCUCAGCACAAGCAGUAUGCUAUCGCCAUGGAGACGCUGCAGGUUUUUGCACCCCUAGCAAAACUUCUCGGGAUGUAUCAAAUAAAGUCUGAGUUAGAGUAUCUGUCCUUCAUGUACAUGAAUCCUGGUGAUUUCGCUGAACUAAGGAAAAGAGUUGAUGAUAUCUUCAAAGCCCAUGAACAAGAAUUGGAAGAGGCAAAUAAAAUCCUAAAGCAAAAAAUUGCUGAGGAUCAAUUUCUUGAUCUUGUGAGUGUUGAAACAGAAGUGCGCUCAGUGUGUAAAGAACUUUACAGCAUUUAUAAAACCGCUCUCAAAUCCAAGAGUUCAUUAAAUGAGGUAAAUCAGGUUGCUCAGCUGCGGAUCAUCAUAAAACCAAAAUCCUGCAAUGGUGUUGGGCCACUGUUUACCGCACAACAGAUCUGCUACCAUGUCCUUGGUCUUGUUCAUGGCAUAUGGACACCUAUACCUCAAGCUGUUAAAGAUUAUAUUGCAACUCCAAAGCCUAAUGGCUAUCAAAGUCUACAUACUACAGUGAUACCGUUUCUUAAUGAGAGUAUGUUCCAUUUGGAAGUUCAGAUAAGAACAGAGGAUAUGGAUCUGAUAGCAGAAAGAGGCAUUGCUGCACACUACAGUGGAAGAGGGGUGGUUUCAGGACCUGUUUGUCCUGGAAUAUCUAGUGGAAGAAAUUUAGAUGGGAAAGUGAUCUGUCUUAACAAUACAGGCUUUGCUCUGAGGAUUGGUUGGCUGAAUGCAAUCCGUGAAUGGCAAGAAGAGUUUGUUGGUAACAUGAGCUCUAGGGAAUUUGUGGAUACUAUUACCAGAGAUCUUCUGGGAAGCCGUGUCUUCGUGUUUACACCUAAAGGCGAGAUUAAAAACCUGCCUAAAGGGGCCACUGUGAUUGAUUAUGCAUAUCUGAUCCAUACAGAAAUCGGCAAUAAAAUGGUAGCAGCAAAGGUGAAUGGUAAUCUAGUUUCACCAAUCCAUGCACUUGCGAACGCUGAAGUAGUGGAGAUAAUAACUUACGAUAAAUUGUCCAGUAAAUAUGCAUUCCAGCGUCAUCAGCAGUGGCUGCAACAUGCCAAAACCCGCAGUGCUAGGCACAAAAUUAUGAAAUUCUUAAGGGAGCAAGCUGCUCUUUCUGCUGCUGAAAUAACGGCGGAUGCAGUUAAUAACUUUGUCGCUGAUCUUGAAGAUGAAAGUGACAGUGAGCAGUUAAUUCCAACCACACAAAACGAUGACCAUAAAUUCAAUUGGCAGAAGAUAUUAAGUUCCAACAAGUUAUCCUUUGUGAAUAAAAAUAGCGAUGGCUUUUUACCAGUUAACAACGUUCACACGCCAAAGAUUAACGGGAAGCACAACAAAACUGUCAAGGAACUAGGCAUCAAAAUUAAUGGUUCAACAGUUCGAGGUGAUAGCUCCACUGACUUCAUGCGCCCUGGCGUCCCAGCCUAUAAGGAAGUUUUUGCUAGUUUGGAUAAUUGGAAAUGCGGUAAAAUUUCCUCUUGGCACAAUACAGAAGGCAACUCUAUCCAAUGGCUUUGCAUAGUGUGUGUUGAUCGAAAAGGGAUGAUGGCUGAAGUCACUUCGGCUUUGACAGCUUGCGGAAUCACCAUAUGUUCCUGUGUGGCAGAGAGAGAUAACAGAAGAGGAAUGGGUGUGCUGCUUUUCCAUUUUGAGGGAACUGAUGAGAAUGUGGUGAGCGCAUGCUCCAGUGUUGAGAUGAUUCUUGGCGUUCUUGGUUGGUCUGCUGGGUGUAGUUAUGAUCCGCUUGGCGUUCUUGGCUGAUGUCAAUUAAUUCUUGAGUGCUAGUGUAGUCGUGAUGCACAGUUGACCUUCAUCUCCACUGAAGCUGAGACAAUUUUGGAAAGCACCAAUGGAUGAAAUGUUUUGGGAGCAGUCAGGUCUUGGUUCCCUUUACUUUGUCAAAGCAGGCAGAUGAAACUAGAACCAGAUGUUACCACGCUUCAUUUGGAAGCGAGAGAGUGUACAUAGCUGAGCGAGUAGUAUACUUUUAGUGCAGGGAUUGGCUGGGUUUAUACAGAAAAAGGCCUCCGUGAAUGACCAAAUGAAGGCUGGUUUCUUCUCUCUUUUUUACCCUUCUGAGCGUUGCAUAUACUAGUUGUGUAAUUGAAUGUGCAGCUAGAGUUUUGACCUGGAAUCUCAGUGUCCCAAAAUUUUGACCCUA